CCUACGGGAGGCAGCAGUGGGGAAUAUUGGACAAUGGGCGCAAGCCUGAUCCAGCCAUACCGCGUGUGUGAAGAAGGCCUUUUGGUUGUAAAGCACUUUAAGCGAGGAGGAGGCUCUUGAGGUUAAUACCCUUGAUGAGUGGACGUUACUCGCAGAAUAAGCACCGGCUAACUCUGUGCCAGCAGCCGCGGUAAUACAGAGGGUGCGAGCGUUAAUCGGAAUUACUGGGCGUAAAGCGCGCGUAGGCGGCUUGUUAAGUCGGAUGUGAAAUCCCCGGGCUCAACCUGGGCACUGCAUUCGAUACUGGCAAGCUAGAGUAUGGGAGAGGAAGGUAGAAUUCCAGGUGUAGCGGUGAAAUGCGUAGAGAUCUGGAGGAAUACCGAUGGCGAAGGCAGCCUUCUGGCCUAAUACUGACGCUGAGGUGCGAAAGCAUGGGGAGCAAACAGGAUUAGAUACCCUGGUAGUCCAUGCCGUAAACGAUGUCAACUAGCCGUUGGGGACCUUGAGUCUUUAGUGGCGCAGCUAACGCGAUAAGUUGACCGCCUGGGGAGUACGGUCGCAAGACUAAAACGUCAAAGGAAUUGACGG
This 588-nucleotide ribosomal RNA is filed under the name uncultured bacterium. Its description in RNAcentral is "bacterial SSU rRNA". It matches the Rfam family "Bacterial small subunit ribosomal RNA", at positions 338 to 916 of the family's 1533-position model. The record is from RNAcentral.